This 248-nucleotide unclassified non-coding RNA is filed under the name Hevea brasiliensis (rubber tree). The record is from RNAcentral. Lineage: Eukaryota; Viridiplantae; Streptophyta; Magnoliopsida; Malpighiales; Euphorbiaceae.
UGGGCUCACGAUCAGUAUCUCCAGUACCUCUUAUAGGCAGAUUUUUCCCAAGCUCAAAACUUCACUUCCUUUCAUUUUCUUGGCUGCCAAACACUCCUCCUUAGUAUGGGUAUAAUUUUUAGUGAAGAGAGGAUAAGGUUUUGAGGUGAAAUAAGGUGAGGUUUGGGAGCUUUAGUGAGCUUUCAUGGUGGAAUGGUUAUGGAAUUUGAGAGCUACGGGUGGGUUUUGUAAAAGUGAUGGCUGCUGGA